This is an RNA transcript of Pezoporus occidentalis (night parrot), 4266 nucleotides long. It is a transcript of the gene named secretion regulating guanine nucleotide exchange factor, with no coding region annotated. The record is from RefSeq and is a predicted model, not a curated record. The transcript is spliced from 14 exons. NCBI's taxonomy places the organism in Eukaryota, Metazoa, Chordata, Aves, Psittaciformes, Psittacidae.
GGCCCUAUGUGAGGCGGGGCGUCCCCGGAGCCCGCCCCAGUCCAGCCUCUUCCUGCCCGGCCUGCUGCGUGGCGGGAAGGGCCGGGAGCCGACGGCCCCAUGGAGCCGCGGCUUUUUACGUGGGGUGCGAACAGCUAUGGACAACUUGGUCUUGGUCAUAAAGAGGAUGUGCUGGUACCUCAGGCAUUGAGAGAUGUUUCCUGCAAAUGUCAAGACAUUAAAAGUGUUACUGGAGGAGGGGGACAUUCUGCAGUUAUCACUGGUGCGGGAGAGCUCUUUGUAUGUGGCCAUAACAAAGAUGGGCAGUUGGGAUUGAAUCACAAAGAAGAUGUACUACGUUUUACUUUGUGCACUGCCCUGACUGGAUUUUGUGUAAAACAAGUUGCCUGUGGCUGGGAUUUCACAAUCAUGUUAGUAGGAUCUGGUCUAGUUCUGUCCUGUGGAUCUAACUCUUUUGGACAGUUGGGAGUUCCUCAAAUUUCAGGUCCCUGCUUGAUUCCACAAAAGAUUGAGUCUCUCAAAGAGAAAGUGGUGGAUGUUGCUGCAGGACUGAGGCAUGCCCUUGUUGCUACAGAGAGUGGUUUAGUGCUUCAGUGGGGAACUGGCAUGGCAUCUCGGGCAAAGCGUGCACACCAAGGGAAAAUCCUCCCCCUAUUCUUGACAGCAAAGGAACCUUGUGAAGUAACAGGUCUGGAAGAUGUAAAGGUGAAGGCAGUUGCUGCAGGGUCCUAUGAUUCAGUGUCGCUCACAGAUGAAGGACACUUGUAUGUCUGGGGUAGCAACAAACAUGGGCAGCUAGUGAGCAAAGAGAUCUUUCUUGCUGAGCCGAAGAAGAUAGACACUCAGUUUUUCUCACAUGAAAAGAUUGGAGCAGUUUGGAGCGGCUGGACCCACUUGGUGGCACAAACAGAAACUGGUAAGGUGUUCACCUGGGGCAGAGCAGACUAUGGACAACUUGGAAGGCACGCAGUGGUUCCCAGUGGGCAGGAGGCUUGCACAGCAUCUGAGCAACGGUUGGAGUGGUUGUGUAACAUCCCUGUUUCAGUGCCUUGCCUAAAUGGAGCAUCUCAGAUCGCAUGUGGCUCAGAGCAUAAUCUGGCAGUAGUUGGUAAUGACACCAACAUCUUGCUGAUUUGAGACAUCUCAGAUAAUGGGCAAGAUGACAAGCCACGCAAAUCCAUAUAAUAGUUUAAUUAUGAGUAGGGAGCUCACUUGGCUUGAAAGAAAAAUGCCAGGCAGGAAGAAGGCAGCUGCAGGUCUCCUUCCUUGUGCCGGAAUGGAGAUGUAAUCAGGAUUGUUAGUCUAUGCUGCCUUUAUGGGUGCAGUCAUGUUAUACCUUAAUGCUCAUGUGAAUUAUUUCUGUAGGCCCAAAAGAGAAAAAAUGUUGAAAGUACCAGGAUUUGAUAUCUUUGCUGAGAGCACUUACCCUAUUUUAAUUUUUUUUUUUUUAUUUUUUCCAUGAGACUUGUUUUGCCACCUACUAAUGAAAGGAGGCAGGAAUCCAAAUGUAUUCUGCUUGCAUUAAAGCCUUAUGUUACCUGCCUUUUACAGCAGAAGCAGCAUGAUGGUUUGCUGUCACUUGGAUUCCUUCGGUCUUGAUAGUACAGUGUUGAUCGAGUUAACUGCAGGGCAAGAUUCUUCCUAGGUAGGUUCUGGACACCCUAAAAUAAAAAAGCCUGAAUGCUACUUGAAUGCUACUGUAUAGCUCUUGUAGAUUUGUUGAUAAAAAAAGCAGCCACUUUCAUUUUUUUUUAAACACCAUAGUAAAGAAAUCUUGUUCUGUUGACAAGUUCAGCAUAAGUCUUGUGCAAUACUUCUCCCCCUGCUUGGAUCCUCCUCCUUCUCCCAUCUGCUACCUUCUCACUCUAAGGAAAGGGAACUCCAUUCUGUCAAAGCACAGUGCCACUGAAAAUUGGGGAAAGACUUUUAAGAGCAGCUUUUGGAUGGGGCCAUUCACUGAAAUCAAAACAAAUAUGAUCUCAGCUCAUUGUAAUUUUGCCCUGCAUACCUAGCAAAAGGCUAAGGCUAGCAUGUAGAAAGAUGCAGUCCCUCCAGUGGAGUAUAUGCAGUUCAAAAAGGCAGAAUCACUUACUAACGCCCAUGAUUGGUGCUCCAUGGCAACAUGUUCUUGCAAGGAAAAUAGCAUAAAUACCGAUUAAGCAAAGAGAUUCCCCAGCAAGCAAAUUAAAUGCCAGAAAUUGAACAAGAGUGUGGAUAUUGUUUUCUUCUCUCUAGGUAAUUAGGGUAGCUACCAUUAAAGUAUCGUAAUUGAAAUGGAUGCUCGAUAAGUCUUUUGUCCUGCUUCAAAUGCAGUGUACUUCUUUAUAGUUACUAGCUUCCAUAUGCUUUGUGAAGCUGUUGCUUUCUAACUUUGAGAAUUGUUUCCCUCUGCAAAGAUCUUUUGCUUGCUUCUGCCUGAUGCUGACUUGCAAAUUCAGUGCAAGCAGCUAAAGCUUAAGAUGAUAGGCUUGUAUUAUUACAGGGACUUUGUGUAUUGUUGAAGUCCCUGGGGCUGAAGCUCAAACCUGCAAACUGUCUUGACUAGAGAUGAAUGUGCUGAAUUUCACCUGAUCCUUGGGAAGAAUGUGCCCACAACUGGCAACCUCUGCCUGUAAGAGCUAAGGGUUAGAGAAUUUCAGGACUGUUUAUGAUAGUUUGGCUUGAGAUAUCCAAGUAUGAAAGUGCAGUCACCUACAAAAUAAUGAUAAUAAAUGUGCUUAUGCUUCCUUUGUGGCAAGAAUUUCACUGGAGAUACUCAGUUGGCUAUAUGGGGCAAGAGCAGCAGAAAUCAACGAGACUGUCUGCUGGAGAUGCUGAGCCUGCAGGCUCCACAGCUGAGAGCACCGAAUGAAAAGUGUGAGUGACAGAGAAGUGACAGGGAAGUUCAUACUGGUGUUUUCAAGAAACCAUUCAGUGACAAAUGAAUUGCAGUAAGAUGGAUCACUUUCAAGCAGAGAGUGAGCAGAUUUCUCUUCAAGGCACCAUGGAACAAUCUGAGGUUCUGAUUAAGGUGCUCAAAUGAUCCAACCAUUGUUGUACCUGAGUAGAUCUUGGGUUUCCCCACUUAGACCACAACACAGUGGCAAGUAUGAGGAUCCCUAUAAAUAUAGGCACAAAAACUGAGACAGACAGACAAGGCACAAUGACCCAUAGGAGCUUUAUUAGAUGUGCGCUUGCACUACAGUACAGUGUGGUAUAGGCACACUUGAACGAGAUACAAGUAGGUUAACUCAAGUACAACAGUUGCAGCACAGGGGAAAAGUAAUCCACAAAUCCUGCCCAGAAGGGAGGAUUAGUUCCUCCUGAACUCUCAGACUACAGCUAUGCUAUAGCUUGUAUCAAGCUAGGUAUUUUAAAGCUCUCACAGGUACACAUGGUACUACAGUGCUGUCACUGUUAAAACUGCACUGCGACACUUGCAGGGGAGCUGUCAUCUGAGCCAUUGUGUUACUGUAAGAGAUUAUAACUUGAAACUUUGCAAAGUAAGGCAUCCUAAAAAAAUUACUGCUGAGUUGCAACUACUUCUGUUCUGAGGCAAAGUUUGCGUAGCUGUGAGAAAUCUACUAGUUUAAUGAGUAAGAAGGAAACUGAGAAAUUCAGUGACCAUUUGUUUCCUUGAUAUUUUCUUUUUGCAUUUUGAACGCUUCAGCUUAUGACUUCUGGACUUCACCUCAGAUUUCUUGUUAAGCAUGGGAAAAAAGCCCUCCCUUGUUUAAUAUCAAUAAGCAAGUUUUUUUUAGACUUCACUCAACAGUAAUGCAUAUUCAUAUCAUGUGUCUCUUAACUUGAGUAAAAUGCAGCCUUGCAAUAGGUAAGGGAAAAUGAAAGGGGAGAAGUCCAAACUGAAGCCCAUUUAAACAUAAAGCUAUUUUACAGAAGAUGUCCAUAUGGAAGGUUUACGCAUUUUACUUCUUGGUUCUGAGUUAGAGAAUUGUGUUCUGCAGAAAAGGACACCUUCAGAGGUAAACCCCAGAAUGCUCACUUUUGUUCAGUGCAAACAGCCCUUCAGGGGAAGAAAACAGCAGUCAGGUAAGAAGAAAUUGAAGGUAUAUGUGACCAUAUGGAAUUUUUUUUUACCUUUUGUUGUAUUGUAAGUAUUUUUUAUAUAGCUUGGUCUGCAUGAUCACCUUAAAUCUGUGUACUUGUAAAUAGGCCAGUGUAUCACACAAAGAGUUGCUUUAUAAAACAUGUUGAGCACCAAAGCAUUUCCAAAAUCUUUUCCAUCCUAGCUGCUCUUUUUUGAGAGCCCAGUGGGAUCUCUUGUUU